RNAcentral lists this ribosomal RNA (717 nucleotides) under uncultured Lachnospiraceae bacterium. RNAcentral's name for it is "bacterial SSU rRNA". It matches the Rfam family "Bacterial small subunit ribosomal RNA", at positions 39 to 756 of the family's 1533-position model. The record is from RNAcentral. Lineage: Bacteria; Bacillati; Bacillota; Clostridia; Lachnospirales; Lachnospiraceae.
GCGGCGUGCCUAACACAUGCAAGUCGAACGAAGCGAUUAGGAUGAAGUUUUCGGAUGGAUUCCUGGUUGACUGAGUGGCGGACGGGUGAGUAACGCGUGGAUAACCUGCCUCACACUGGGGGAUAACAGUUAGAAAUGGCUGCUAAUACCGCAUAAGCGCACAGUACCGCAUGGUACGGUGUGAAAAACCCAGGUGGUGUGAGAUGGAUCCGCGUCUGAUUAGCCAGUUGGCGGGGUAACGGCCCACCAAAGCGACGAUCAGUAGCCGACCUGAGAGGGUGACCGGCCACAUUGGGACUGAGACACGGCCCAAACUCCUACGGGAGGCAGCAGUGGGGAAUAUUGCACAAUGGGCGGAAGCCUGAUGCAGCGACGCCGCGUGAGUGAAGAAGUAUCUCGGUAUGUAAAGCUCUAUCAGCAGGGAAGAAAAUGACGGUACCUGACUAAGAAGCCCCGGCUAACUACGUGCCAGCAGCCGCGGUAAUACGUAGGGGGCAAGCGUUAUCCGGAUUUACUGGGUGUAAAGGGAGCGUAGACGGCGACGCAAGUCUGGAGUGAAAGCCCGGGGCCCAACCCCGGGACUGCUUUGGAAACUGUGCUGCUGGAGUGCAGGAGAGGUAAGUGGAAUUCCUAGUGUAGCGGUGAAAUGCGUAGAUAUUAGGAGGAACACCAGUGGCGAAGGCGGCUUACUGGACUGUAACUGACGUUGAGGCUCGA